Molecule: ribosomal RNA, 630 nt
Filed under: uncultured bacterium
Lineage: Bacteria
Description: bacterial SSU rRNA
Rfam family: Bacterial small subunit ribosomal RNA
Source: RNAcentral
GGGAGCUUGCUCCGCUGACGAGUGGCGAACGGGUGAGUAAUGUAUCGGAACGUACCAUUCAGUGGGGGAUAACGUAGCGAAAGUUACGCUAAUACCGCAUAUUCUGUGAGCAGGAAAGCAGGGGAUCGCAAGACCUUGCGCUGAUUGAGCGGCCGAUAUCAGAUUAGCUAGUUGGUGAGGUAAAGGCUCACCAAGGCGACGAUCUGUAGCGGGUCUGAGAGGAUGAUCCGCCACACUGGAACUGAGACACGGUCCAGACUCCUACGGGAGGCAGCAGUGGGGAAUUUUGGACAAUGGGGGCAACCCUGAUCCAGCCAUGCCGCGUGAGUGAAGAAGGCCUUCGGGUUGUAAAGCUCUUUCGGCCGGGAAAAAAUCGCAUGGGUUAAUACCCUGUGUGGAUGAUGGUACCGGAAUAAGAAGCACCGGCUAACUACGUGCCAGCAGCCGCGGUAAUACGUAGGGUGCGAGCGUUAAUCGGAAUUACUGGGCGUAAAGCGUGCGCAGGCGGUUUGAUAAGACAGGCGUGAAAUCCCCGGGCUCAACCUGGGAACUGCGUUUGUGACUGUCUCACUAGAGUACGGCAGAGGGGGGUGGAAUUCCACGUGUAGCAGUGAAAUACGUAGAGAUGUG